CGGAGGGAUCAUUAAAGAGUUCUAUAACUCCCAAACCCAUGUGAACAUACCUAACGUUGCCUCGGCAGGUCGCACCUACCUUGUAGCACCCUACCCUGUAGGGCCUACCCGGGAGGUGCGGGUAAGCCUGCCGGCGGCCCACCAAACUCUGUUUGAUAUUGAAUUCUGAACCUAUAACUAAAUAAGUUAAAACUUUCAACAACGGAUCUCUUGGUUCUGGCAUCGAUGAAGAACGCAGCGAAAUGCGAUAAGUAAUGUGAAUUGCAGAAUUCAGUGAAUCAUCGAAUCUUUGAACGCAUAUUGCGCCCAUUAGUAUUCUAGUGGGCAGGACCGUUCGAGCGUCAUUUCAACCCUUAAGCCUUCGUUGCUUAGUGUUGGGAGCCUACGGCAACGUAGCUCCUCAAAGUUAGUGGCGGAGUUGGUUCACACUCUAGACGUAGUAAUUUUUUAUCUCGCCUAUUAGUUGGACUAAUCCCCUGCCGUAAAACCCCCAAUUUAUCAAGGUUGACCUCGAAUCGGUUCAGACAAACUCGCUAAAUUGAAGCAUCUUAGUCAGCGAAGGAAAAGAAACCAACAGGGAUUGCCCUAGUAACGGCGAGUGAAGCGGCAACAGCUCAAAUUUGAAAUCUGGCCCUCGGGUCCG
RNAcentral lists this ribosomal RNA (643 nucleotides) under fungal endophyte. RNAcentral's name for it is "eukaryotic LSU rRNA". The stretch from base 191 to 344 matches the Rfam family "5.8S ribosomal RNA". Lineage: Eukaryota; Fungi. The record is from RNAcentral.